Molecule: unclassified non-coding RNA, 201 nt
Filed under: uncultured fungus
Lineage: Eukaryota; Fungi
Description: sequence contains ITS1
Source: RNAcentral
UUAACAUUUCAUCGUUCCUAUUCAUUCAGACGGGUUACGUAGUAAAACACGGGGUUUAUUAUUUAACCUCCGCCGGGCGCCCUUAGGCGCACGGCGGAAGCAACAGGACAGCGUACACAGGGUGGGUUUAUACAGCUCACGCAGCAGCAUGACUGGAUAUAUUACACGAUAAUGAUCCUUCCGCAGGUUCACCUACGGAAA